UCACCGGGCAACAACUUCUGUC
RNAcentral lists this microRNA (22 nucleotides) under Ascaris suum (pig roundworm). Its description in RNAcentral is "asu-miR-5348-3p". The record is from miRBase by way of RNAcentral. Lineage: Eukaryota; Metazoa; Nematoda; Chromadorea; Rhabditida; Ascarididae.